Molecule: ribosomal RNA, 451 nt
Filed under: uncultured bacterium
Lineage: Bacteria
Description: partial 16S ribosomal RNA
Rfam family: Bacterial small subunit ribosomal RNA
Source: RNAcentral
AGCGAACGCUGGCGGCAGGCCUAACACAUGCAAGUCGAGCGGCCGUAGCAAUACGGCAGCGGCAGACGGGAGAGUAACACGUGGGAACGUACCCUUUGGUUCGGAACAACCCAGGGAAACUUGGGCUAAUACCGGAUAAGUCCGUAAGGAGAAAGAUUUAUCGCCAAAGGAUCAGCCCGCGUCUGAUUAGCUAGUUGGUGAGGUAAUGGCUCACCAAGGCGACGAUCAGUAGCUGGUCUGAGAGGAUGAUCAGCCUCACUGGGACUGAGACACGGCCCAGACUCCUACGGGAGGCAGCAGUGGGGAAUAUUGGACAAUGGGCGCAAGCCUGAUCCAGCCAUGCCGCGUGGAUGAUGAAGGCCCUAGGGUUGUAAAGUCCUUUCGGCGGGGAAGAUAAUGACGGCACCCGCAGAAGAAGCCCCGGCUAACUUCGUGCCAGCCGCCGCCAUAA